RNAcentral lists this ribosomal RNA (253 nucleotides) under uncultured bacterium. Its description in RNAcentral is "partial 16S ribosomal RNA". It matches the Rfam family "Bacterial small subunit ribosomal RNA", at positions 524 to 776 of the family's 1533-position model. The record is from RNAcentral.
UACAGAGGGUGCGAGCGUUAAUCGGAAUUACUGGGCGUAAAGCGUGCGCAGGCGGUUUUGUAAGUCUGUCGUGAAAUCUCCGGGCUCAACCUGGGAAUUGCGAUGGAGACUGCAAGGCUUGAAUCUGGCAGAGGGGGGUAGAAUUCCACGUGUAGCAGUGAAAUGCGUAGAGAUGUGGAGGAACACCGAUGGCGAAGGCAGCCCCCUGGGUCAAGAUUGACGCUCAUGCACGAAAGCGUGGGGAGCAAACAGG